Molecule: long non-coding RNA, 4554 nt
Filed under: Lactuca sativa (garden lettuce)
Lineage: Eukaryota; Viridiplantae; Streptophyta; Magnoliopsida; Asterales; Asteraceae
Description: long non-coding RNA (LSAT_LNC008023)
Source: RNAcentral
CCCUUUAUAUAGAUUUUCACAAAACAGAGGCUACUCGGCGAGUCCAGUGACCUACUCGGCGAGUCCGUCACUUAAAACCCGUGUACGGCAAGUCAGCGCGUCCAGAAUCGCGAAAGUUCGAUACAACUCGCCGAGUAAUCGACCCUACUCGCCGAGUACGUUUCGAAUCAGCAUUUUCUCAAAACACGAAAGUCGUCCGAAAUUGUGUCUACUUUUCAGAACAUUUUGAAUCUCGUCAAUCGGAGUUACGGUUCAUGAGAUAUGGCCAAAACACUGACGAGGGGUCAAGCUGUCCAACAACAUCCUUCUUUCUUCAAAAUCCAAGAUCCAAGCCUCCAAUUGCUAGUUCCGCUUCAUUUUCCACCCGAGCAUGUAAUUGUUGCUGAAAAAUGAAAUUAUAAACUAAUUAAGCACCUUUUGUUCAUUAAAUGAGACAAAAACAACAUAAAGUAUUAAGAUAAUGCAUGAAUUUUAUAACUAAAUAUGCCCAUAUCAAAAUACCCCACACUUGACUUUUGCUUGCCCCCAAGCAAAACUGAAUUUUAGUACACUAAUAUUACAUAAGACAAUCCCAAUCGAACCCAUCCAUUAUGCCAAGACCGCAACGCAUGCAUUUGUGUCUAAAAUUUUCCUAAUAACCCCCCAUACUCCAAAUACUCACAAUCCUCAUAAACAUUCGCCCACUUUUUCCGAACAAUGCUCAUUUUAUGCAUCCCUCCGAAUCCAUCCUCAGAAAACCUCUUAACCUCAAGGUAUUUUUGGUUGAGCAACCCAAGCAUACAUAAUCUAGACAAUUACAAUUUAUGAUACCACAUUGGAGCUCUUUGGAAUUCUUCACUUCUUUGACAUUUGAUCUUUAAUUUCUUUGAAUUCACCACCUUGUUGUUUGAUUUUUGGUAUCUUCAACUUUUUGAAUCUUCGGAAUUUUGAUCUUUUGAUUUCAUAUUUUAACUUUGAUGCUCCAAAAAUUCUUCAACUUUUCUUGUAAUUCUCUCUCUCUUUUUUUAACAUGUAACUCACUUUUUUCACUCAAUAAACCUACAUGCUUAAGCAGGGGCGCUCAACUUCAACCUUUAUUGGUUAACGAUAAUAAUUUUCCUGGAUACAUUUCUGGUACACGAUGCUAAACAUAUUGCAUCCUUCAAACUAAGCGAGGUCGUGUUUUUGUCCCAUGAUUUCACUAGAAUAAGGAAGCCACAAAUGCACUAGAACGUAUAUAGGCUCAACUAAACAUUUGGGUCUUCAUGCAAUCAUCAAAUAUAAUACUAGCAUGAUCCCUAAUUGCUUUACCAAAAUUUUCUAAAUUAGCCCUAGCAAUUUUAAUGCAAAAAUUUCAAAAAUAACUAAAAUUUCAAGAUUUUCGAAUUUUAACUAAAAUUUUAACUAAUUUAACCAACCCCCUACCCCACACUUAAUUUAUGCAAUGUCCCCAUUGCAUAUUAUGCAUGAUAAAGAACAAUAAAAUAAAGAGGGAAUUGGAACAAACUCCCCUGGGAUAGUAGUCGCGAGGUUAAUCUUCUUCAUGUAAAGCUCCAACUUCAGCUGACUUUGGCAUGGGAACAGCGCAUCCAUGCCUUGGGCGUCAAAUCUCGUGUGGUUGACAACUCUCAAUAUGUGGGAAAAAGCAUCUUGGAAACGCUCGGAAAAUGAUCUUCAAAAAUAUAGACAAUGCCAGCGUCGAAUGGAAUCAAAUCGUCAACUCAAAUAUAAAAAGAAUGAGUAACUCGCCGAGUUUUAUGUGGAGACUCGCUGAGUUGAAUCGCUAUACUCGCAGAACUCGUGAUUUUUUGCUUGGACUCGUCGAGUUAGUAUUAUGCACUCAACGAGUUCUUGACUCUGAUCAGGUCUUUUCUUCUUUCUGCUUCAGCUUUAAUUUUGUGUUCAAGGAGAGUAUCAAGGUAAUACAACUCCUCAUUUUCUUCAGGGACGAGACUCUUUUUAAUCAAAUAUAAACAUCGGACUCAACAUAUCGCUCAAAAUCUUCUAAUCUUCUCGUAAACGACUCGACCGCUCACUUUAAUUCCCUCACGCUUUAAGAAUUCGCUCUAAUAUCACCCUAGCUUCUGAAAAGAUCAAAAACAAAUACCAAGUAAUAAUAAAAAUAAAUCAAAAUAAAAAUCCUAAAUUAUCCCUAAAUACUAGAAGUUUAAAAAGAAAAAGAAAAGCAAACUCUAAUGACGGGUUGCCUCCCGCAAGCGCUUCUUUUUGUGCGAGUCUUUAGCUGGACUCCCAACUUAAUAAACUUCCAAUAAACUCAAUGCCAAUCCAUCCGUUGCAUUGAAUAUUUUCUUUGGACCAAUUUGUAAAAUUUGGCUCUUUUCUUCUAAAAUUGGCCAAACAAGCUUGAAUUCAUAAAACCCAAGAAUCUUGACAAGGGUUGGAACCGGUUGGAUACUAAUCAAAAACGGAUCGUGCCUCAGAACUUUCUCCAAAGUUGGAGUCGUCACCCCACGCUUCGAAACACAAACUGAAAAUACAGGGGGCCAUGUCGUGGUAAUGGUCAAACCACAGCUUGGUUCCUGCAAUUCAGCUUGUUCUUGUUCUUCGUCUGACCUCUCUGCUAGCAACCUUUGCAGCUCCUCCAAGUCUCUUUCUGGAUUAAAUUCAUCAUCUUGUAAAUCUAGCUCUUGUGACUCAGAUUGUUCUUGAUCGUUAGACAAGAUGAUAUCUAACCAUCUAUCAAAUUUCUUCAAAUCUUCAUCCGAGUCAUAAUCCUCAUCUUCCUGCACUACUUCCUCAAGAAAAGCAUCAAAAGCAUCGAGAUUUGGAAAAUACAUAAUAAAUAAAAAAGAUAAAAAUUAAACUAAAUAAAAAAAUAAUCAAUAAAAUAAAACCGAUAACAAUUAGCAAAUAAAAUUAACUAUUUGAACCGUUCCCCGGCAACGGCGCCAAAAACUUGAUGUGUGUAAAACCAACUAGUUUUAAUCCUACUAACUUAGACACAAAAUAAACACACGAAAGGCAGUGUACCUAUCGAUUAGUAAUAUAGUUCAAGCAAGUAGGGUAUCGAACACAGGGAACGGUAAACAAUUAAAAUAAAUGCUAAUAUUAUCUAAAUAAAACAAAUAACAAAAAGGGGGUUUUCUCUAGUUUUACAAGACUAGAAACUUAAUUAGAAUAACCAACACACAAAUUAACUAACUAGCAACUAAAACAAUUAAUUACCAACUAAAUUCAAUAGUAAAGAGGACUUCUGUUUAGGUACGACUCAUUUGUUCCCAUGGAUGAUUUUAAUGUAUCAGAUUAAUUCUUCAUUGGCUACCGAUUAAGAUAAUUAGGUUCACGUUCGCUAUUCCUAAUUCUUAGAAAACAAAUUAACUCAAGCAAUGGCCAGUUGUCUAAAUUAACGGGUUUCCUAGAUUAUUGAUUCGGGUUAAGUAAGACUUGUAAUGGUUAAUUAAAUUGACCCUUCAAUUAACCUAUUGCUGAUGUUCAUCAAACAAUCUCACACAUUAACUUACCUAUCUUCUAGUUAAUUCUAGUUUCACAUUCGUUAUUCCUAGACAUACAACUAUGUGGUCACAAUAAAUCAUAUGAAAUUAAUAACUAAGAGAUGUUCAUACAACUUAAUUACUGAUUUAUUAACAGAAGAAUAGUUAUUGUCAACACAUAAGGUUCUUUAACAAGCUUAACAAAACAUAAUUACCAAUUAAAAUUAAUCCUACUCAAAUAAUCAAUCCAUGUUCACAAAAUUGUCUACCCUAACAGAAGAAUAAGUUUUUAGCUCAUGAUUGCAGUAAACAUAAACUCAAAAACGAAAUCAAAGUAUGUAAACAUGAUUCAAAUCAAAAAGUUACUAAGAAUAAACCAAAAUUGUCUUGAUUCUCUUCACAAUUGAAUGUAGGGUUGAUUCUUUAGUUCCUCACGACCUAGCAGCACUUCCAAUCGUUUCUCAGCUUCCUAGGGUUUCUCUCCAUCCUCGGUUAUCGAUCUGAAAGUCCCUUUAUAUAGAUUUUCACAAAACAGAGGCUACUCGGCGAUUCCAGUGACCUACUCAGCGAGUCCGUCACUUAAAACCCGUGUACGGCAAGUCAGCGCGUCCCGAAUCGUGAAAGUUCGAUACAACUCGCCGAGUAAUCGACCCUACUCGCCGAGUACGUUUCGAAUCAGCAUUUUCUCAAAACACGAAAGUCGUCCGAAAUUGUGUCUACUUUUCAGAACAUUUUGAAUCUCGUCAAUCGGAGUUACGGUUCAUGAGAUAUGGCCAAAACACUGACGAGGGGUCAAGCUGUCCAGCAACAUCCUUCUUUCUUCAAAAUCCAAGAUCCAAGCUUCCAAUUGCUAGUUCCACUUCCUUUUCCAUCCGAGCAUGUCUUUGUUACUGAAAAUGAAAUAUUUAAGCUAAUUAAGCACCUUUGGUUCAUUAAAUGAGACAAAAACAACAUAAAGUAUUAAGAUAAUGCAUGAAUUAUAUGACUAAAUAUGCUCAUAUCAGUCCACCUCUCACCCUUACCUCAUGGUCUAUAUCACCUCUCAACUCAUCAUCCAACUCAUAUUUCAUCUACCCAUGUUUUACCCAACAUUUAUGUACAUAUAAAUACAUAUACAGUUUAA